This 490-nucleotide ribosomal RNA is filed under the name uncultured bacterium. RNAcentral's name for it is "partial 16S ribosomal RNA". It matches the Rfam family "Bacterial small subunit ribosomal RNA", at positions 30 to 507 of the family's 1533-position model. The record is from RNAcentral.
AUUGAACGCUGGCGGCAGGCCUAACACAUGCAAGUCGAACGGUAACAGGAAGCAGCUUGCUGCUUCGCUGACGAUUUGCGUACUGGUGUUUCAUGUCUGGGAAGCUCCCUGAUGUUUGGGGAUAACUACUGGAAACGGUAGCUAAUCCCGCAUAAUGUCGCAAGUCCAACGAGUAGGACCUUUGUGCCUCUUGCCAUCGGUUGUGCUCAGAUUGGAUUUGCUUGUUGGUGGGGUAAUGGCUCACCUAGGCGCCGAUCCCUAGCUGGUCUGAGAGGUUGACCGGACACAGUGGAAAAGAGACACGGGGCAGACUCCUAGGGGAGGCAGCAGUGGGGAAUAUUAAAAAAGGGGGGAAAGCCUGAUGCAGCAAUGAAGCGUGUAUGAAAAAGGCCUUCGUGUUGUAAAGUACUGUCAGCGGGGAGGAAGGGAUUAAAGGUGAUAUGGGUAAAGAUUGAAGAUACCCGCAGAAGAAGCACCGGCUAACUGCGUG